RNAcentral lists this ribosomal RNA (329 nucleotides) under uncultured eukaryote. Its description in RNAcentral is "partial 18S ribosomal RNA". It matches the Rfam family "Eukaryotic small subunit ribosomal RNA", at positions 1470 to 1796 of the family's 1831-position model. The record is from RNAcentral.
CCCUUAGACGUUCUGGGCCGCACGCGCGCUACACUGAUGCAUUCAACGAGUCUAAAACCUGCUCUGAUAGGGGUGGGUAAUCUUUUGAAUGUGCAUCGUGAUUGGGAUAGAUGAUUGCAAUUUUUCAUCUUCAACGAGGAAUGCCUAGUAAACGCAAGUCAUCAGCUUGCAUUGAUUACGUCCCUGCCCUUUGUACACACCGCCCGUCGCUCCUACCGAUUGAAUGAUCCGAUGAAUAUCAUGGAUUGAGGAUUAUAGCAGGUUCGCCUGUCUUGAUCUUCGAGAAGUGAAGUAAAUCUUAUCAUUUAGAGGAAGGAGAAGUCGUAACA